UAGGGAAUCUUCCGCAAUGGACGCAAGUCUGACGGAGCAACGCCGCGUGAGUGAAGAAGGCUUUCGGUUCGUAAAACUCUGUUGUUAGAGAAGAACAGCGCAUAGAGUAACUGUUAUGCGUGUGACGGUAUCUAACCAGAAAGCCACGGCUAACUACGUGCCAGCAGCCGCGGUAAUACGUAGGUGGCAAGCGUUGUCCGGAUUUAUUGGGCGUAAAGCGAGCGCAGGCGGUCAAUUAAGUCUGAUGUGAAAGCCCCCGGCUCAACCGGGGAGGGUCAUUGGAAACUGGUUGACUUGAGUGCAGAAGAGGAGAGUGGAAUUCCAUGUGUAGGGGUGAAAUGCGUAGAUAUAUGGGGGAACACCAGUGGCGAAGGCGACUCUCUGGUCUGUAACUGACGCUGGGGCUCGAAAGCGUGGGUAGCAAACAGG
This 429-nucleotide ribosomal RNA is filed under the name Bacteroidota bacterium. Its description in RNAcentral is "Bacteroidetes bacterium partial 16S ribosomal RNA". It matches the Rfam family "Bacterial small subunit ribosomal RNA", at positions 355 to 776 of the family's 1533-position model. The record is from RNAcentral. Lineage: Bacteria; Pseudomonadati; Bacteroidota.